UACGUAGGCGGCGCUGUCAGUCGGGUGUGAAAGCCCUCGGCUCAACCGAGGAAUUGCGCCCGAUACUGCAGUGCUUGAGGGAGACAGAGGUAAGCGGAACUGAUGGUGGAGCGGUGAAAUGCGUUGAUAUCAUCAGGAACACCGGUGGCGAAAGCGGCUUACUGGGUCUCUUCUGACGCUGAGGUACGAAAGCUAGGGUAGCGAAGG
RNAcentral lists this ribosomal RNA (207 nucleotides) under uncultured bacterium. Its description in RNAcentral is "partial 16S ribosomal RNA". It matches the Rfam family "Bacterial small subunit ribosomal RNA", at positions 568 to 774 of the family's 1533-position model. The record is from RNAcentral.